Molecule: small RNA, 719 nt
Filed under: Pan troglodytes (chimpanzee)
Lineage: Eukaryota; Metazoa; Chordata; Mammalia; Primates; Hominidae
Description: retained intron
Source: RNAcentral
UUUUGUUUUCUCUUUAAUUUUUAAACUUUACAGGCCCCUUCACAGAUGUAGUCACUACAAAUCUUAAAUUGCGAAAUCCAUCGGAUAGAAAAGUGUGUUUCAAAGUGAAGACUACAGCACCUCGCCGGUACUGUGUGAGGCCCAACAGUGGAAUUAUUGACCCAGGGUCAACUGUGACUGUUUCAGUAAUGCUACAGCCCUUUGACUAUGAUCCGAAUGAAAAGAGUAAACACAAGUUUAUGGUACAGACAAUUUUUGCUCCACCAAACACUUCAGAUAUGGAAGCUGUGUGGAAAGAGGCAAAACCUGAUGAAUUAAUGGAUUCCAAAUUGAGAUGUGUAUUUGAAAUGCCCAAUGAAAAUGAUAAAUUGAAUGACAUGGAACCUAGCAAAGCUGUUCCACUGAAUGCAUCUAAGCAAGAUGGACCUAUGCCAAAACCACACAGUGUUUCACUUAAUGAUACCGAAACAAGGAAACUAAUGGAAGAGUGUAAAAGACUUCAGGGAGAAAUGAUGAAGCUAUCAGAAGAAAAUCGGCACCUGAGAGAUGAAGGUUUAAGGCUCAGAAAGGUAGCACAUUCGGAUAAACCUGGAUCAACCUCAACUGCAUCCUUCAGAGAUAAUGUCACCAGUCCUCUUCCUUCACUUCUUGUUGUAAUUGCAGCCAUUUUCAUUGGAUUCUUUCUAGGGAAAUUCAUCUUGUAGAGUGAAGCAUGCAGA